Molecule: small RNA, 85 nt
Filed under: Salmonella enterica
Lineage: Bacteria; Pseudomonadati; Pseudomonadota; Gammaproteobacteria; Enterobacterales; Enterobacteriaceae
Also listed under: 4 other names
Description: partial RtT sRNA
Rfam family: RtT RNA
About the family: This family represents a bacterial cis-regulatory element known as RtT RNA. The exact function of RtT is unknown although it is thought that it may be involved in changing the cellular response in relation to amino acid starvation.
Source: RNAcentral
AUAUCUCUCUGUACGGGAAGGAUGAGAAGCUUCUACCAGGGUUCGAUUCGAGCGCAGCGAGAAAGCGUUGCCGCAGGCAACGACC